ACCCCACUGCUAUCGGGAUGGGACUAAGACAUGCUAGUCGCGCGCCUUCUAGCCACGCUGGAGGCGCGGCACACAGCUCAGUAGCACGUGGCUAACCUGCCCUUGGGACGGGAACAACCCCGGGAAACUGGGGCUAAUUCCCGAUAGGUGAAGAUCCCUGGAAUGGGUUUUUGCCCAAAAGACGCUUAGGUCAUGCUUCUAAGCGUUGCCCAAGGAUGGGGCCGCGGCCGAUCAGGCUGUUGGUGAGGUAAUGGCUCACCGAACCUUUGACCGGUUCGGGCCGUGGGAGCGGUAGCCCGGAGAUGGGCACUGAGACAAGGGCCCAGGCCCUACGGGGCGCAGCAGUCGCGAAAACUUCGCAAUAAGCGAAAGCUUGACGGGGCCAUCCCGAGUGCCAUCUGCUGAGGAUGGCUUUUACCCAGUGUAGAUAGCUGGGGGAGUAAGGAGAGGGCAAGUCUGGUGUCAGCCGCCGCGGUAAUACCAGCUCUCCGAGUUGUGGGGACGUUUAUUGAGCCUGAAGCAUCCGUAGCCGGCUGGGCAAGUCCCCUGUUAAAUCCAGCGAUAAAUCGUUGGCGUACGGGGGAUACUGCUCGGCUAGGGGGCGGGAGAGGCCGUCGGUAUUCUUGGGGUAGGGGUGAAAUCCUAUAAUCCCAGGAGGACCACCAGUGGCGAAGGCUGUCGGCUAGAACGCGCUCGACGGUGAGGGAUGAAAGCUGGGGGAGCGAACCGGAUUAGAUACCCGGGUAGUCCCAGCUGUAAACGAUGCAGGCUAGGUGUUAGGGCGGCUACGUGCCGCUCUAGUGCCGCAGGGAAGCCGUUAAGCCUGCCGCUUGGGGAGUACGGCCGCAAGGCUGAAACUUAAAGGAAUUGGCG
This 873-nucleotide ribosomal RNA is filed under the name uncultured archaeon. RNAcentral describes it as "bacterial SSU rRNA". It matches the Rfam family "Archaeal small subunit ribosomal RNA", at positions 21 to 870 of the family's 1478-position model. The record is from RNAcentral.